This 28-nucleotide non-coding RNA is filed under the name Rattus norvegicus (Norway rat). The record is from RNAcentral. Lineage: Eukaryota; Metazoa; Chordata; Mammalia; Rodentia; Muridae.
AACCGCGGAAGGAGUUUAUAAUGGUUCC